CAUUGGUAGCUUCACGCUCUGGUGACGUAAGCAGAGCGUGAAGGUUUUUUUUAUUUUCCCUUCACUAGUGCUUUACCUAUGGGAGAUACCGAUUUCGAAGGCAAAACUAAAAGUCGAUUUAUUAACUUAUUAGUCGAGAUACGUAUAAACCGAGUGUACCAUACGACAGCCUGAUCUUUCUUCUAUCGAUGCCCGCAUCCACUUUGGCGAUGGUACAUACAUAAAACGCUGAAAUUUGGCGAUAGGCGGGAAGGUGCAAUCCUAAACGGUAUCAUUCAAUUACAUCUUGAUGGUUGCUUUUU
RNAcentral lists this long non-coding RNA (302 nucleotides) under Amphibalanus amphitrite. RNAcentral describes it as "uncharacterized LOC122363846". The record is from RNAcentral. Lineage: Eukaryota; Metazoa; Arthropoda; Thecostraca; Balanomorpha; Balanidae.